Long non-coding RNA from Sapajus apella (tufted capuchin), 158 nucleotides. RefSeq lists it as uncharacterized. The record is from RefSeq and is a predicted model, not a curated record. The transcript has 2 exons. NCBI's taxonomy places the organism in Eukaryota, Metazoa, Chordata, Mammalia, Primates, Cebidae.
UAUCAGAUAAACGCAGUUUCAGAAUGAUCAAGAAAAACUGUUUGACCAAAUAAUAUGGCUGAUUAACAGUGGUACGAUUUCUAGCCUGAGGGCUGAAAAUGGACUUAGAGUAACUGUCUUUAAACUGAACUCAAAGAAUGCAAAAGCGGCAAGUUCGG